Molecule: ribosomal RNA, 253 nt
Filed under: uncultured bacterium
Lineage: Bacteria
Description: partial 16S ribosomal RNA
Rfam family: Bacterial small subunit ribosomal RNA
Source: RNAcentral
GACGAACCGUACGAACGUUAUUCGGAAUCACUGGGCUUAAAGGGUGCGUAGGCGGCGCGACAAGUUGGGUGUGAAAUCCCUCGGCUCAACCGAGGAACUGCGCCCAAAACUGUCGUGCUCGAGGGAGACAGAGGUGAGCGGAACUUAGGGUGGAGCGGUGAAAUGCGUUGAUAUCCUAAGGAACACCGGUGGCGAAAGCGGCUCACUGGGUCUCUUCUGACGCUGAGGCACGAAAGCGUGGGGAGCGAACAGG